UAUCUGGUUGAUCCUGCCAGUAGUCAUACGCUCGUCUCAAAGAUUAAGCCAUGCAUGUGUAAGUAUAAAUAUUUAACUUUGAAACUGCGAAUGGCUCAUUAUAUCAGUUAUAGUUUAUUUGAUGAAUAAUACUACUUGGAUAACCGUAGUAAUUCUAGAGCUAAUACAUGAUAAAAUCCUCGACUUUGGAAGAGGUGUAUUUAUUAGAAUGAAACCAAAAGACUUCGGUCUAUUUGUGAGUAAUAAUAACUAAUCGUAUCGCAUGCUUAGGUAGCGAUAUGUCUUUCAAGUUUCUGCCCUAUCAGCUUUGGAUGGUAGUGUAUUGGACUACCAUGGCAGUAACGGGUAACGAAGAAUUUGGGUUCGAUUUCGGAGAGGGAGCCUGAGAGAUGGCUACCACAUCCAAGGAAGGCAGCAGGCGCGUAAAUUACCCAAUCCUGACAUAGGGAGGUAGUGACAAUAAAUCACAAUGCGGAACUAUUAGUUUUGCAAUUGGAUUGAGAACAAUGUACAAAUGUUAUCGAUAAACAAUUGGAGGGCAAGUCUGGUGCCAGCAGCCGCGGUAAUUCCAGCUCCAAUAGCGUAUAUUAACGUUGUUGCAGUUAAAAAGCUC
Molecule: ribosomal RNA, 613 nt
Filed under: Blastocystis sp.
Lineage: Eukaryota; Bigyra; Opalinata; Blastocystidae
Also listed under: 1 other name
Description: SSU rRNA
Rfam family: Eukaryotic small subunit ribosomal RNA
Source: RNAcentral